Molecule: long non-coding RNA, 1190 nt
Organism: Lontra canadensis (Northern American river otter)
Lineage: Eukaryota; Metazoa; Chordata; Mammalia; Carnivora; Mustelidae
Exons: 2
Source: RefSeq, a predicted model, not a curated record
AGGGGAAUGAUUGAGGAGUCAAAUAGAAAAGUCUUUGUAUGCUUGCUGCUAAUGUUGCCCUGAAAUCUAAUGGGAAUCUAUAAGGUAGCAGAAUUAAUUCAGUAUUAGUAAAUAUGCUGCUGGGAUACGCCAUCUCAAUGUAUCAGCAUCCAGAUGUAAGACCUUUGACAGGUGGAAUAUUCUGUAAAAUGUGAUUUAUCUCUCACCUAUCCUCUACUAACCCCCUGCCCCCCCACCCCCAUAUUCCUUUCGGUUAUCCAAACAUUUUUACCUAGAGGCUUGUUUAAAUGUAAGGUUCCCAGCAGACAUAAUUCAAAUCACAAGAAAUUAACUGUUUUUUUAACUUUCCAUUUUUGCUUAUGGAGGAUAAAGGUCCUGAGACCUCUCGAAAUCUUACAGAGAGCUGUUUGUCACACCCAGCUCUGGUCUUCUCUCUGCUUCAACCAGCUAUGAAAUCUUUGUCUUAAAUCCUCAUUUGUUACCUAAAGGUAGACUAAAUUAUUCCUUCCAGCCAUGAUGUAUUGUGGGUGUGAUACAGUUGAAAUAAUAUAUUUAAAAGUGCUUUGUAAAUGUUCUUAAUGACACUCAAGACGUACUGUACUGCGAAACAAGUAAUCUUUUAAGGCGAUACCAGCAGAUGUAUUCAUUGUAGCCGGUUUUCUUCUCAGCGUCACUUUUCCCAUAUUCGUUUUGAAUGCCUGAAAUGAAGUUCAACUAUAAAUGGCUCUAAAAUUUGUUAAGCCGGGUGGAAAGAAAGGUCUUCACUUUGUUUUGUGUUUAAAUCCAGUUCUUCAUUUCUGUUCAUACUAGUGCUUGCUUUUCAUGGCCAGAAAAGCAGAAACGUACCCUUCUGCUGUCUGCAGUGUCUGUUGGACCUCACAGAAAUGUCUUCAUGCUUUUACCUAGCAGGAACACCAGAGGCUGGGGCCCUGGGCCAACACUGAAGUCCUCCUGGAAUCUGUGCUCCGGGGGCUGUGCCGGGUAGAGAGGGCAGUGGGAGAAAAAGAAAAGCAACUGUCAUCAGAUUCACAAGAAGUGGAACCUAAUUCACAUUUGGCUUACUGACAUCAGUGUACAGCGCAUUGCAAGGAAACUGCAUUCAGAUCUCUGCCCUCUAAGGAUAUGAACAGAUAAUUAAUUACACCUUCAACAAAUAAAGCUAUUUAUAUUUUUGUUUUAUGCUAAAUUCA